AGUAGAUACUCGGCUUUUAA
RNAcentral lists this transfer RNA (20 nucleotides) under Saponaria ocymoides. Its description in RNAcentral is "partial tRNA-Lys". The record is from RNAcentral. RNAcentral also lists the same sequence under 1 other name. Lineage: Eukaryota; Viridiplantae; Streptophyta; Magnoliopsida; Caryophyllales; Caryophyllaceae.